RNAcentral lists this ribosomal RNA (253 nucleotides) under uncultured bacterium. RNAcentral describes it as "partial 16S ribosomal RNA". It matches the Rfam family "Bacterial small subunit ribosomal RNA", at positions 524 to 776 of the family's 1533-position model. The record is from RNAcentral.
UACAGGGGGGGCAAGCGUUGUUCGGAAUUACUGGGCGUAAAGGGCUCGUAGGCGGCCAACUAGGUCCGACGUGAAAUCCCAAAGCUUAACUUUGGAACUGCGUCGGAUACUGGAUGGCUUGAAUUCGGGAGAGGGAUGCAGAAUUCCAGGUGUAGCGGUGAAAUGCGUAGAUAUCUGGAGGAAUACCGGUGGCGAAGGCGGCAUCCUGGACCGACAUUGACGCUGAGGAGCGAAAGCUAGGGGAGCAAACGGG